AGAGUUUGAUCAUGGCUCAGAACGAACGCUGGCGGCAGGCCUAACACAUGCAAGUCGAGCGCUGUAGCAAUACAGAGCGGCGCACGGGAGAGUAAUACAUGGGAACCUACCUUUUGGUUCGGAAUAACGUCGGGAAACUGACGCUAAUACCGGAUAAGCCCUACGGGGGAAAGUUUUUCGCCGAUAGAUGGGCCCAUGUUGGAUUAGCUAGUUGGUGAGGUAACGGCUCACCAAGGCAACGAUCCAUAGCGGGUCUGAGAGGAUGAUCCGCCUCACUGGGACUGAGACACGGCCCAGACUCCUACGGGAGGCAGCAGUGGGGAAUAUUGGACAAUGGGGGCAACCCUGAUCCAGCCAUGCCGCGUGAGUGAUGAAGGCCUUCGGGUUGUAAAGCUCUUUUGCAGGGGACGAUGAUGACGGUACCCUGAGAAUAAGCCCCGGCUAACUUCGUGCCAGCAGCCGCGGUAAUACGAAGGGGGCUAGCGUUGUUCGGAAUUACUGGGCGUAAAGGGCGCGUAGGCGGCUUGGCAAGUUGGAUGUGAAAGCCCAGGGCUCAACCCUGGAAUUGCAUUCAAGACUGCUUUGCGUGAAUUCGGUAGAGGUUGGUGGAAUUCCCAGUGUAGAGGUGAAAUUCGUAGAGAUUGGGAAGAACACCCGUGGCGAAGGCGGCCAACUGGACCGACAUUGACGCUGAGGCGCGAAAGCGUGGGGAUCAAACAGGAUUAGAUACCCUAGUAGUCC
This 741-nucleotide ribosomal RNA is filed under the name uncultured bacterium. RNAcentral describes it as "bacterial SSU rRNA". It matches the Rfam family "Bacterial small subunit ribosomal RNA", at positions 8 to 796 of the family's 1533-position model. The record is from RNAcentral.